UAGGGAAUCUUGCGCAAUGGGCGAAAGCCUGACGCAGCAACGCCGCGUGCGGGAUGAAGGCCUUCGGGUUGUAAACCGCUUUCAGCAGGGACGUAGAUGACGGUACCUGCAGAAGAAGCCCCGGCUAACUACGUGCCAGCAGCCGCGGUAAUACGUAGGGGGCGAGCGUUGCCCGGAUUUACUGGGCGUAAAGGGAGCGUAGGCGGACUUUUAAGUGAGAUGUAAAAUACCCGGGCUCAACUUGGGUGCUGCAUUUCAAACUGGAAGUCUAGAGUGCAGGAGAGGAGAAUGGAAUUCCUAGUGUAGCGGUGAAAUGCGUAGAGAUUAGGAAGAACACCAGUGGCGAAGGCGAUUCUCUGGACUGUAACUGACGCUGAGGCUCGAAAGCGUGGGGAGCAAACA
RNAcentral lists this ribosomal RNA (402 nucleotides) under uncultured prokaryote. Its description in RNAcentral is "bacterial SSU rRNA". It matches the Rfam family "Bacterial small subunit ribosomal RNA", at positions 355 to 774 of the family's 1533-position model. The record is from RNAcentral.